Molecule: RNA transcript, 4869 nt
Organism: Hypanus sabinus (Atlantic stingray)
Lineage: Eukaryota; Metazoa; Chordata; Chondrichthyes; Myliobatiformes; Dasyatidae
Gene name: N6-adenosine-methyltransferase subunit METTL3-like
Exons: 12
Source: RefSeq, a predicted model, not a curated record
GGUUGGUCAAUGAGCUGUCAGUCAGAGCAGUAGGCGGGCCUCCGAGCGGAAGUGAUGCACUAGGCCUAUCAUUCGGUUUGUAGCCCCUGGCUCGAGUUGUGUUGACGGCCCGGGUCCCGGUGCCCGGAACGAAGAUGUCAGACACAUGGAGCGACAUCCAGGCCCACAAGAAGCAGCUGCACAGUCUGAGGGAGAGGCUGCAGCGGAGGCGGAGGGAGCCAGGCGCCCAGACGGAGACUGUUCAGGGGGUGGGUGCCGGCCUCCGUAGUGACAGCCCAGUCCUGCCCGCUGCCCUACCACCCAGCAAACCGAGUGGCCUGGACCAGGACGAGAAGAUCGACCCCCUCCUCGAGAAGCGGCUGCUCGAGCACCUCUCCAACCAGGCUCUGCUUCUGCCCACCGACUCGCUUGCCAUCCAGAACACCUUGUUGUCGCUCCAGUGCUCGGUGACCCAGGGGAACGUGGAGAGCCUCCUGCAGAAGUUUGCGGCCCAGGAGCUGAUUGAGGUGCGAGGGGGCCUGUCCCAGGACGGCAUGCCCACCACCGUCACCUUUGCCGACCACACCAAGCUCUCGGCCAUGCUGGUGCUUCUGCCCCAGGAGGGCGAGCCGUCCCCGCCGCAGGCCGAGGGGGGCCAGAAGAGGCGGGCCCAGCCCCCUCCGGUUGGAUCCGCCCCCUCCCCGCCCGACAGGAAGCCACCCGAGCCCGCCAAGAAGUCCCGCAAGGUGGCCUCCGAACUGGACCUGGAGAUCGAGAGGCUGCUGAACCAGCAGUCCACCAAGGAGAGGCAGAGCAAGAAGAUGAGCCAGGAGAUCCUGGAGCUGCUGAACACCAGCACGGCGAAGGAACAGUCGAUGGUGGAGAAGUUCCGGUCGCGCGGCCGCGCCCAGGUGCAGGAGUUCUGUGACCACGGCACCAAGCUCGAGUGUAUGAGGGCCCAGGACCUGGAGCGGCCCUGCCGCAAACUCCACUUCAGGCGCAUCAUCAACAAGCACACGGACGAGUCUCUGGGCGACUGCUCCUUCCUCAACACCUGCUUCCACAUGGACACCUGCAAAUAUGUGCACUACGAGAUCGACAGCUGCCUGGACACCGGCCCAGUUCUGCCCCUGGACGGGCAGGGCUCCGACAAGCCCCUCACCCCCAGUGUGGGCACUGACCCCAGCCUGGGCAAGCUCUUCCCCCCACAGUGGAUCUGCUGUGACAUCCGGUUCCUGGACGUCAGCAUCCUGGGGAAGUUUGCCGUGGUGAUGGCCGACCCCCCCUGGGACAUCCACAUGGAGCUGCCGUACGGCACCCUCACCGACGACGAGAUGAGGAGGCUCAACAUUCCCGUGCUCCAAGAUGACGGCUUCCUCUUCCUCUGGGUCACUGGCAGGGCGAUGGAGUUGGGCCGUGAGUGUUUAAACCUCUGGGGCUAUGAGAGAGUGGAUGAGAUCAUCUGGGUGAAGACCAAUCAACUGCAGCGGAUCAUCCGGACCGGACGGACUGGCCAUUGGCUAAACCAUGGCAAGGAGCACUGCCUGGUGGGGGUGAAGGGAAACCCUCAGGGCUUCAACCGUGGGCUGGACUGUGAUGUCAUUGUGGCUGAGGUCCGAUCCACCAGCCACAAGCCAGACGAGAUCUAUGGGAUGAUCGAGCGACUGUCCCCAGGGACACGCAAAAUUGAACUGUUUGGGAGGCCGCACAACGUCCAGCCCAACUGGAUCACACUUGGGAACCAACUGGAUGGGAUCCACCUCCUCGACCCCGACGUUGUUGCUCGCUUUAAGAAGCGUUACCCUGACGGAGUUAUCACCAAGUGUAAGAUGGUGUGAGCUGUUUCCCGUGGGAGGUGUUUGGAGAGGACACCGUGCAGAAGCACUGCUGACACCAGGGCAAGGGUGAAUUGUCUGCUGUGGCAGCACAUUGUCCUUGAAUCGCUGUGGAACAUCCAGGUGGCAUUUUGCAAACUUGAGACGUGCAGCAAUAUGGUUUUUUUUUGGAGAUCAGCAGUUUCUUCCAUGAACACCAUUCUUAUUCAGUGUUUUUCUUAUAGUGGACACGGAACAGAGACUUUAACAAGUUCCAGAGAUUUCUGCAGGUGCAUUUCACCUCCAUCAGCAUUGCACAUUGUUCUCUUGGUGUGAUCUUUGCAUGAUGCCCACCCCUACGGAGAGGAGCUACGGUACUGUUCCCUCCACUUGUAGACAAUUUCCCUCUCAAAUUUCGGGGUGAAGUCUAUCAUAUUAUGAUCACUGGCUCCGAAGAGUUCCUUUACCUUAAGCUCCCUGAUCAAACCUGGUUCAUUACACAUUAGCCAAUCCAGAAUAGCCUUUCCUCUAGUGGGCUCAAUCACAAGCUACUUAUAGAAGUGUAUAUAAUCACAAGGGGCACAGAUAGGGUGAAUGUGCACAGACUUUUACCCCGGUGUUGGGGAAUCAAGAGCCAGAGGGCACAGGUUUAAGGUGAGAGGGGAAAGAUUUAAUAGGACCCCCAGGGACAACUUUUUCACCUAGAGUAAGGGUUCCCAACUUGAGGUUUGCAGAGCGCUUGGUUAAUAGUAGGGGUCCGUGGCAUAAAAAAGGGGGUGGUCCAUACAUGGAGUGAGUGGUUGAGGCAAAUACAUAGUACAUUAACAGUAUUUAAAAGGCAUUUGGACAGGUACACGCACAGGGAAGGCUUAGAACAGGGAUUUCUAACCUGGGAUUAAUGGACCCCUCAGAUAAUGGUUAAAAAAAAAGAUUGGGAGCCCCAGGCUUGGAGGGUUAUGGGCUAAAGGCAGCCACAGGGGUCUUGCUUGGCGGGUGUGUUAGUGCUGUGUGGCUCACUUCACUUAGCAGGGAGGAAGCAAUAAAAGUGCCAGUCAUGGCAGGUGUGGGUAUUGGAGACAUUCAGGGGCUAAAGGCAGACAAAGCACCAGGAACUGAUGGACUGCAUUCAGACGUGGCUCCAGAGAUCGUAUCAUCGUGAUUUUCAGAACUCUACAGGGUCCAGAUGGCUGAAAAACAGCCAGUGUAACUCCCUUAUGCAAAAAGAGAGGGCAGGGUAGUCGAGAAUCAGAGGAAAUAACACAUCCCUCUGGAAAACCAUACCUAACCAAAUCUGGUCAAUGAAUGUAAAACACACAAAAUGCUGGAGGGAUGCAGCAAGCCAGAUAGGAUCUAUGGAAAUGAAUAAAGAGCUGAUGUUUCAUGAUUUAAUGAAAUGUUUGAGAAGUUAGCUCGAAUAAUGAAGUCACACAGAGAGCUGAUAGUGAGGAAUGUGUCAAGCCACAUUUUAUCAUUGUGCACACAUGAACAGAUAAACUGGAAAGUGUAAAUAGCAGAAGAUAGGGAGUGCACAGACUAACCCCACCCACCCAUUAGAUAUUGUCUUCUCACAGUGGGGUGUCAGGAUCCCAGCCUCUCCAACCUGCUUUAGUGGCCACUAUCAGGCAGGUUGGGUGGAGUUCCUGGUCACUGGGGAGCCCCAGGUUGUGGAUGGAGAGGGAAAUCACAGGUGGGUGUUACUGGGAGAUCUUCCCAGCCUCCUGUCAGUCCAUGCCCAAAAGUUUCCUGGGUACACUGAGUGGGACUGAACACAAUGUCAUCACCCUCACUUCUGAAAGAAAUGACACUGAGGAAGCUGCUGGACAUGACUGGGGCUCAGGGUUCUACCAGGACUUGGAUUGGGAAGUCCGACCUCAGGACGCUCUGUUCCACGCUGCCUUGUUGUCUGGGGUCAGUCAUUCCCACCUGACCACUGGAGUUCGGAGCUGUUGAUGCAUUUGGACUGGGGUCUGGUUGGAUUCUGGGGCUGUGUGGUGCUGGACAAGCAUCAGUAAUACUUCUGUGAAGGAGAUGCCACCAGAGAGCAUGCUUGCUGAUGCCCACCUCUCUCCUGCUGCUGUAGGCAGGCUAAUAAUUAGCUGGAUUGGAUUAGGGUACACAGGGCUUUGGGGCACCUUCACUGUGGACGGGGCAGCGAUGUUAUAUCUGACACUGGCCUUCAUUCAGGGCAUGUCCACAGAAGUUGAGCGGUCACGUUGCAGUUGUACAAGACGAUGGUGAGGCCGCAGCUGGGUUCAGUUUUGGUCGCUCUGUAAUGGGAAGGGUGUCACUAAGCUGGAGAGGGUGCAGAAAAGAUUCCUCAGGAUGAUACCAGUACUGGAGGGCUGGAAUUAUAAGGUGACAGUAGCAUAUUGGUUAGCACAACACUUUACAGUAUCAGCAACCCAGGUUUAAUUCCUGCUGCUGUCUGUUAAGGGGUUUGUAUGUUCUCUCAGUGACCCCAUGGGUUUUCCUCCCACAGUUCAAAGACGUACCAGCUGGUAGAUUCAUUGGGCGUUGGUCUAGGGGUAUUGUGUAGCUGUCCCAGACAAGAGUGGAGAGGUGGGAAUCAGGACUGGCUGGAAAAAUGGCAUUUGGAAUUUCAUGCUGACCAGUGCAAUAUGUUGCACUCGGGAGGACCAACCAGGGUAGGGCUUGCACAGUGAACAGUAGGGAGCUAUAACAGAGGGUACUGGGAAUACAGAUGUAGUCUUGAAAAUGACAUCACAGGUAAAUAAGGCCAUAAAGAAUACAGUGGGGCACAAUGAGACCAGAACAUUUUGGUCCAAAUAAGCAGCUGCUCCAAUUAGUUGAAGUUUGGAAAUAGUUAAAAAGGUAUGUUUAAAAAAAGUCAAACUACUAUUUAACUUAAGUAAUAAAUGAUGCAUUUUACAAUUUAAUUUUUAUGAACACGGUUUUGUGAUUGUAACUACUUUUAAUACAAUGUAUUUGGUACUAUUUUGUUUUUUUCUUUUAACAUCUUGUAUUCUGUAUUCCUCAAUGCAGAAACUAAUGAAAAUAUUGAAAGAUAACUGAUGCAUUUAAAUGAAAUACAGAAUAAAUUAGAACACUACCCGUC